RNAcentral lists this ribosomal RNA (698 nucleotides) under uncultured Staphylococcus sp. RNAcentral describes it as "bacterial SSU rRNA". It matches the Rfam family "Bacterial small subunit ribosomal RNA", at positions 58 to 738 of the family's 1533-position model. Lineage: Bacteria; Bacillati; Bacillota; Bacilli; Caryophanales; Staphylococcaceae. The record is from RNAcentral.
CAAGUCGAGCGAACGGACGAGAAGCUUGCUUCUCUGAUGUUAGCGGCGGACGGGUGAGUAACACGUGGAUAACCUACCUAUAAGACUGGGAUAACUUCGGGAAACCGGAGCUAAUACCGGAUAAUAUUUUGAACCGCAUGGUUCAAAAGUGAAAGACGGUCUUGCUGUCACUUAUAGAUGGAUCCGCGCUGCAUUAGCUAGUUGGUAAGGUAACGGCUUACCAAGGCAACGAUGCAUAGCCGACCUGAGAGGGUGAUCGGCCACACUGGAACUGAGACACGGUCCAGACUCCUACGGGAGGCAGCAGUAGGGAAUCUUCCGCAAUGGGCGAAAGCCUGACGGAGCAACGCCGCGUGAGUGAUGAAGGUCUUCGGAUCGUAAAACUCUGUUAUUAGGGAAGAACAUAUGUGUAAGUAACUGUGCACAUCUUGACGGUACCUAAUCAGAAAGCCACGGCUAACUACGUGCCAGCAGCCGCGGUAAUACGUAGGUGGCAAGCGUUAUCCGGAAUUAUUGGGCGUAAAGCGCGCGUAGGCGGUUUUUUAAGUCUGAUGUGAAAGCCCACGGCUCAACCGUGGAGGGUCAUUGGAAACUGGAAAACUUGAGUGCAGAAGAGGAAAGUGGAAUUCCAUGUGUAGCGGUGAAAUGCGCAGAGAUAUGGAGGAACACCAGUGGCGAAGGCGACUUUCUGGUCUGUG